UGCGUAGGGUGCAAGCGUUAAUCGGAAUUACUGGGCGUAAAGCGUGCGCAGGCGGUUUUGUAAGCCAGAUGUGAAAUCCCCGGGCUUAACCUGGGAAUUGCAUUUGUGACUGUACGGCUAGAGUGUGUCAGAGGGGGGUAGAAUUCCACGUGUAGCAGUGAAAUGCGUAGAGAUGUGGAGGAAUACCGAUGGCGAAGGCAGCCCCCUGGGAUAACACUGACGCUCAUGCACGAAAGCGUGGGGAGCAAACAGG
This 253-nucleotide ribosomal RNA is filed under the name uncultured bacterium. RNAcentral describes it as "partial 16S ribosomal RNA". It matches the Rfam family "Bacterial small subunit ribosomal RNA", at positions 524 to 776 of the family's 1533-position model. The record is from RNAcentral.